Molecule: ribosomal RNA, 253 nt
Filed under: uncultured bacterium
Lineage: Bacteria
Description: partial 16S ribosomal RNA
Rfam family: Bacterial small subunit ribosomal RNA
Source: RNAcentral
UACAGAGGUCUCAAGCGUUGUUCGGAUUCAUUGGGCGUAAAGGGUGCGUAGGUGGUGAUGCAAGUCUGGUGUGAAAUCUCGGAGCUCAACUCCGAAAUUGCACCGGAUACUGCGUGACUCGAGGACUGUAGAGGAGAUCGGAAUUCACGGUGUAGCAGUGAAAUGCGUAGAUAUCGAGAGGAACACCAGUGGCGAAGGCGAGUCUCUGGACGACUCCUGACACUGAGGCACGAAAGCUGGGGGAGCAAACAGG